GUGGGGAAUCUUCCGCAAUGGACGAAAGUCUGACGGAGCAACGCCGCGUGAGUGAUGAAGGUCUUCGGAUUGUAAAGCUCUGUUAAUCGGGACGAAAGAGCCUAGUGUGAAUAAUGCUAGGAAGUGACGGUACCGGAAUAGAAAGCCACGGCUAACUACGUGCCAGCAGCCGCGGUAAUACGUAGGUGGCAAGCGUUGUCCGGAAUUAUUGGGCGUAAAGCGCGCGCAGGCGGAUCUGCCAGUCUGUCUUAAAAGUUCGGGGCUUAACCCCGGGAUAGGAUGGAAACUACAGAUCUAGAGUAUCGGAGAGGAAAGUGGAAUUCCUAGUGUAGCGGUGAAAUGCGUAGAUAUUAGGAAGAACACCAGUGGCGAAGGCGACUUUCUGGACGAAAACUGACGCUGAGGCGCGAAAGCCAGGGGAGCGAACGGGAUUAGAAACCCGGGUAGUCC
This 450-nucleotide ribosomal RNA is filed under the name uncultured bacterium. Its description in RNAcentral is "partial 16S ribosomal RNA". It matches the Rfam family "Bacterial small subunit ribosomal RNA", at positions 354 to 796 of the family's 1533-position model. The record is from RNAcentral.